GGGUGUGAGGGUGCUCUGGCUCUGAUAUCUUUCACCCCGCUGAUUGCCAGGCUUGAUUAGACUGAUGUGGCUGACUGGGUGGGUGUCCUCUUCCUCCCUCAGCACUCCAUGUGAGACCCUGCUGAAGUUGUGGACUUGGUUGAACAGGAGGAUGACCCCCUGAUAGAGGAAGCCCUUUUCCUCAGUCCCUGAGGAACUGGGGACUUUGAGAACUCCCAAACAAAUGCACAAUGAAGACAUGAAAUAGAUGUUUGCAAUAAAGAUUCUGGAAUGGUUAUAUAUGAACAAAUAUUU
RNAcentral lists this small RNA (294 nucleotides) under Chinchilla lanigera (long-tailed chinchilla). Its description in RNAcentral is "7SK RNA (ENSCLAG00000022082.1)". The stretch from base 1 to 191 matches the Rfam family "7SK RNA". Rfam says of the family: 7SK was discovered as an abundant small nuclear RNA in the mid-70s but a possible function has only recently been suggested. Two independent studies have found that 7SK RNA binds the CDK9/cyclin T complex (known as elongation factor P-TEFb). Lineage: Eukaryota; Metazoa; Chordata; Mammalia; Rodentia; Chinchillidae. The record is from RNAcentral.